CGCGGUGAAUACGUUCCCGGGCCUUGUACACACCGCCCGUCAAACAAUGGAAGCUGGGGGUGCCUGAAGUCGGUAACCGUAAGGAACUGCCUAGGGUAAACUAGUAACUGGUGUU
This 115-nucleotide ribosomal RNA is filed under the name uncultured bacterium. Its description in RNAcentral is "partial 16S ribosomal RNA". It matches the Rfam family "Bacterial small subunit ribosomal RNA", at positions 1358 to 1482 of the family's 1533-position model. The record is from RNAcentral.